CCCUCUGGGGUGCAGCAGAGUAUCCGAUCAAUUACUGUAAAUAUGAUUUCGCUCAAACGGCAUUUGUCGCGGAGCAUUCAAAAGUGACAGGAUGGCAUAAUCAUAUCUUCCGCAGGAUGCCGAUUCCCCUGCUUAAACUCGCCGGUUCGAUACUGUACCGGCAUGUGGGUUGAUAGGAAAGAACCGGAAUUAGAUCUCCAUGAACAUUUAUCGCAAUAAUAUCUAUUAUUUUCUAAAACCGAUCAUCCCGAGAAAAGUACAGAUCUGUGCGCGGAGACUGCUCAUUCAAUACCAGCUCGUGAAAUACAGGAACAUCUGGCCGAUCGAUGAAAAGGCGGGGAGAGAACCGUCAGGAUGGCGGGGGGGC
This 367-nucleotide ribosomal RNA is filed under the name uncultured prokaryote. RNAcentral's name for it is "partial 16S ribosomal RNA". The record is from RNAcentral.